GUAAAGGCAUAAAGGAGCUUGACUGCGAGACCUACAAGUCGAGCAGGGACGAAAGUCGGGCUUAGUGAUCCGGUGGUUCCGUAUGGAAGGGCCAUCGCUCAACGGAUAAAAGCUACCCUGGGGAUAACAGGCUUAUCUCCCCCAAGAGUUCACAUCGACGGGGAGGUUUGGCACCUCGAUGUCGGCUCAUCGCAUCCUGGGGCUGUAGUCGGUCCCAAGGGUUGGGCUGUUCGCCCAUUAAAGCGGUACGCGAGCUGGGUUCAGAACGUCGUGAGACAGUUCGGUCCCUAUCCGUCGCGGGCGUAGGAAAUUUGAGAGGAUCUGUCCUUAGUACGAGAGGACCGGGAUGGACAUACCGCUGGUGUACCAGUUGUUCCGCCAGGAGCAUCGCUGGGUAGCUAAGUAUGGAUGAGAUAAACGCUGAAAGCAUCUAAGUGCGAAACUCACCUCGAGAUAAGAUUUCCCAUUACGUAAGUAAGUAAGAUCCCUGAAAGAUGAUCAGGUAGAUAGGAUGGAAGUGGAAGUGCUGCGAGGCAUGGAGCGGACCAUUACUAAUCGAUCGAGGACUUAACCAAG
Molecule: ribosomal RNA, 576 nt
Filed under: Ligilactobacillus salivarius
Lineage: Bacteria; Bacillati; Bacillota; Bacilli; Lactobacillales; Lactobacillaceae
Description: partial 23S ribosomal RNA
Rfam family: Bacterial large subunit ribosomal RNA
Source: RNAcentral